AGAGAGAGACAUGCGCGCAUAUCAAUAAGCGGAGGAAAAGAAACUAACAAGGAUUCCCCUAGUAACGGCGAGUGAAGCGGGAAGAGCUCAAAUUUGAAAUCUUAAAGGGUUUCCCUUUACGAAUUGUAGUUUAAAGAAGUGUUUUCUGUUGAGGUUUUGGUAAAAGUUCUUUGGAAUAGGACAUCAUAGAGGGUGAGAAUCCCGUAUUUGACCUUUACUUUCAACUUUGUGAUACACUUUCAAAGAGUCGGAUUGUUUGGGAAUGCAGUCCAAAAUGGGUGGUAAAUUUCAUCUAAAGCUAAAUAUUGGCGAGAGACCGAUAGCGAACAAGUACCGUGAGGGAAAGAUGAAAAGGAACUUUGAAAAGAGAGUUAAACAGUACGUGAAAUUGUCAAAAGGGAAGCGUUUGACACCAGUGUUGUUUUUCUGAAAAUCAAUUAAAGAACUGUUUAUGCUAAGUUGUUUAGACUUAUCAGCUAACUGUUUAGUUUUGAGCUUUUCUUUAAUGCACUUUUCAGUUAACAAGUCAACAUCAAUUUCUUUUGCUGUAAAAAAGCUUGAGGAAGGUGGCUUGAGAUUCGUCUUAAGUGUUUAUAGCCUCUUGCCUAUGCAGUCGGAGAGAUUGAGGUCUGCAGCGUAGAUCCUUCGGGGCUAAAUGCAUUUGUGCUAAGUUAUAGCAUUUUAUAGACAACUUGUUGACUAUGAUUUGUCUUGUAGCUUACUCGCUUAUGUUAUUUUACCUACGCUUAGGAUGUUGAGCGCAUGUCUCUCUCU
Molecule: ribosomal RNA, 774 nt
Filed under: uncultured Neocallimastigales
Lineage: Eukaryota; Fungi; Neocallimastigomycota; Neocallimastigomycetes; Neocallimastigales
Description: partial large subunit ribosomal RNA
Rfam family: Eukaryotic large subunit ribosomal RNA
Source: RNAcentral